AAGACUGGGAUAACUUCGGGAAACCGGAGCUAAUACCGGAUAAUCCUUUCCCUCACAUGAGGGAAAGCUGAAAGACGGUUUCGGCUGUCACUUACAGAUGGGCCCGCGGCGCAUUAGCUAGUUGGUGAGGUAACGGCUCACCAAGGCAACGAUGCGUAGCCGACCUGAGAGGGUGAUCGGCCACACUGGGACUGAGACACGGCCCAGACUCCUACGGGAGGCAGCAGUAGGGAAUCUUCCGCAAUGGACGAAAGUCUGACGGAGCAACGCCGCGUGAACGAUGAAGGCUUUCGGGUCGUAAAGUUCUGUUGUCAGGGAAGAACAAGUACCGGAGUAACUGCCGGUACCUUGACGGUACCUGACCAGAAAGCCACGGCUAACUACGUGCCAGCAGCCGCGGUAAUACGUAGGUGGCAAGCGUUGUCCGGAAUUAUUGGGCGUAAAGCGCGCGCAGGCGGUUCCUUAAGUCUGAUGUGAAAGCCCCCGGCUCAACCGGGGAGGGUCAUUGGAAACUGGGGAACUUGAGUGCAGAAGAGGAGAGCGGAAUUCCACGUGUAGCGGUGAAAUGCGUAGAGAUGUGGAGGAACACCAGUGGCGAAGGCGGCUCUCUGGUCUGUAACUGACGCUGAGGCGCGAAAGCGUGGGGAGCGAACAGGAUUAGAUACCCUGGUAGUCCACGCCGUAAACGAUGAGUGCUAAG
RNAcentral lists this ribosomal RNA (700 nucleotides) under Bacillus sp. PD1H. RNAcentral describes it as "bacterial SSU rRNA". It matches the Rfam family "Bacterial small subunit ribosomal RNA", at positions 134 to 820 of the family's 1533-position model. Lineage: Bacteria; Bacillati; Bacillota; Bacilli; Caryophanales; Bacillaceae. The record is from RNAcentral.